Molecule: long non-coding RNA, 1360 nt
Organism: Lathyrus oleraceus (garden pea)
Lineage: Eukaryota; Viridiplantae; Streptophyta; Magnoliopsida; Fabales; Fabaceae
Exons: 2
Source: RefSeq, a predicted model, not a curated record
UCCGGCGUUUGAUGUUACACCUGCUAAUCUAAUUUUUGGGAUCAUCGCUGAGAAGGGUGUCAUUACAAAGACUAACGCUAAUGAUUGUUUUUGACAUAAACGUUUUUGUACAGAAAACAGGUUGAGGGUCGAACUUAUUCAAUAAAUAAUCUUUGGUUAUGAAGAGCAAAACACAUUGCAGCAAUUGUAAUCCUCCAUGAGCAUAGUCCGUAGCAUUCCAAUUCAUCACCACGACAUGUCCUCCUGCAAGCAUCAAACAACACGGUUACAUUUCGAUAAUCUCAGGGAAAGUGUAUAUGCUAUUCAAGUGAAAGACACUGCAUUAAAUAAGCUUCUUACCAGCAGUAAAAAUUCUUGGAGUUGAAAAGGACGGAAGAGAGGGACCACCAACUGGGGAUGAGGACAAAAAUCCCAAGGCAUUUUCCCACGCUCCACUACUCUGAAAACACAGCAGAGGGAGGAGAUGAGUCAUAUAUAAGAGAGGCCACUGUUCGUAAAGAGAGAGCCGAAAAACCCUAAUUCUUUAGAGGAGCUGCUACUGUUUACCAACAAAAAAGAGGUCGACGGCAAGGAGAAAAGAAAACCAUAGUUUUUCUUGGUGGUGAAGAACGGACAAGAAGAUCAAAGACCGGUUCAAACGAAACCUUACCUACAUCCGUCCGUCAAUCUCGCCGCAACCGGUGAGAUUUGGAUAACAAAGUAGUUCUAGUCUAGUGGCAGAAAUAUUAUUUGGUAAAUCCUAGGUUCUGGGUUUGAUCCUUGGGUUCUAGCAUUUCUUAUUUUUAACAUAUUUUCUAUUUCCUAUUAGUUUUUUUAUUAUUAUUACCAUUUUUUUAUUAUUUUAAACCUUUUAUUUAUUUUUUAUUUUUUUCUCUUUUUUUUAAACACUUGUUGAUUUUAAUGUUUGUCCUUGAUUUAUUGUUUAAACAUCGAUUUUUAAUUUAUGGAUUUGGCAAUUUUCUUGUUAUUUAUCCAUGAUUAUUUUUAUCGAUAUAUUGAUAGUAUUUCACCACGUUUUGAUUAAUCGCAUAUGACAUUUCAAUUAUUGUCAACAUGCGCAAACCGGCUUUGAGCACAUUAUUUAGGUUUUGUGUGUCCCUCAAUUUCCAUCCGUGCAAAUCUCGAUUUUACCUUUUUUCUAUUUAAUUUUUAAGUUUGUUGUAAAUAUAACUUGUUGUGUUAUUUUCUUCACAUGGCUUACUCUUGGGCCUUCUUACAAUGAGACAGUUCUCUUGCACUUACACUCAUACAUCGCAUUGUUUGUUGUUUGGGGCCCGAUUUAAAUUUCAUUACUUUGAAUUCCCAUUCGAUAAAAUGUACCCCCACUCCCCUGGCAUGUAAUAAUUUUACUGUUUUAUUC